GGCGAACGCUGGCGGCGUGCUUAACACAUGCAAGUCGAGCGGUAAGGCCCUUUCGGGGGUACACGAGCGGCGAACGGGUGAGUAACACGUGGGUGACCUGCCCUCAGCUCUGGGAUAAGCCUGGGAAGCCGGGUCUAAUACUGGAUAUGACUCCAUGACGCAUGUUGUGGGGUGGAAAGCCUUGUGCGGCUGAGGAUGGGCCCGCGGCCUAUCAGCUUGUUGGUGGGGNGAUGGCCUACCAAGGCGACGACGGGUAGCCGGCCUGAGAGGGCGACCGGCCACACUGGGUCUGAGACACGGCCCAGACUCCUACGGGAGGCAGCAGUGGGGAAUCUUGCGCAAUGGGCGAAAGCCUGACGCAGCGACGCCGCGUGAGGGAUGACGGCCUGG
Molecule: ribosomal RNA, 390 nt
Filed under: uncultured bacterium
Lineage: Bacteria
Description: bacterial SSU rRNA
Rfam family: Bacterial small subunit ribosomal RNA
Source: RNAcentral